CAGGGGAUGGGGCAUCAGGGUGCUGGAUGAGAAUCUGGCUCUGCUCUGGGCGGGCUGUCACCAUGGUGCUGGCAGUACCCACCACCAUUCCACAACCACCAUUGAUUGAGGAGACUUGGUGCUGGUUAUACAGACUACUGACUUCGUGAAAAUUCAAUUAUUAAACUAAUACUCCCCUGGAAGAACAAGAGGACUAAUUUUCGGUGACGACAGACUUGUGCUGAUCCAUCAUCUGGAACUCCUAAAGACCUGAAUGGCUGACUGGGAUUAGUGACUACUAUCUGGUUUUACUGGUUUUACUCUACUAAGCCCAUGAUUUUGUGUUUUAACCAAUUAAGAAAAUUAUCCCAAAGCACAAUAAAAAUAGCCUAGGUCUGAAUACCACCAGUUUUUUGGCAACAGUCCUGCUUCUUGCCUUUUUCUCAUCCUCAUCUGCAGCUUUCUUGAAUUCAUGUUCAAAGGAGCUAGCUAGUUCAUUGAAGAGUCCCACCUCCUCACAGUUC
This 503-nucleotide long non-coding RNA is filed under the name Pan troglodytes (chimpanzee). RNAcentral describes it as "long non-coding RNA NONPTRT003879". The record is from RNAcentral. Lineage: Eukaryota; Metazoa; Chordata; Mammalia; Primates; Hominidae.